This 283-nucleotide unclassified non-coding RNA is filed under the name uncultured fungus. Its description in RNAcentral is "partial contains small subunit ribosomal RNA, internal transcribed spacer 1, and 5.8S ribosomal RNA". The stretch from base 1 to 73 matches the Rfam family "Eukaryotic small subunit ribosomal RNA", at positions 1759 to 1831 of the family's 1831-position model. The record is from RNAcentral. Lineage: Eukaryota; Fungi.
ACAAACUUGGUCAUUUAGAGGAAGUAAAAGUCGUAACAAGGUUUCCGUAGGUGAACCUGCGGAAGGAUCAUUAUUGCUUGCAGCGUCGUUUUAGGGACACCUAAGCGGCAUAAGCUUGCUCCCCGUGCCUAUUUAUCACUAUACGUAAGUCCUCAGCAGGGAGACCUGCUGUAGGAGUUAUUGUAAACCACCUGCAUGUACAGCAUUUUAUAAUUCAGACAAACCUAUUAUCACAACUUUCAACAAUGGAUCUCUUGGUUCUGGCAUCGAUGAAGAACGCAGC